This 214-nucleotide unclassified non-coding RNA is filed under the name root metagenome. Its description in RNAcentral is "partial contains small subunit ribosomal RNA, internal transcribed spacer 1, and 5.8S ribosomal RNA". The record is from RNAcentral.
UCUCCGUUGGUGAACCAGCGGAGGGAUCAUUACCGAGUUUACAACUCCCAAACCCUUAUGUGAACCGUACCUAUCGUUGCUUCGGCGGGAACGCCCCGGCGCCCUGCGCCCGGAUCCAGGCGCCCGCCGGAGGUUACAAACCCUGAAUUUUAGUGUAUCUCUGAGUACAAAAACGAAAUAAUUAAAACUUUCAACAACGGAUCUCUUGGUUCUG